GAUGAACGCUGGCGGCGUGCCUAAUACAUGCAAGUCGAGCGAACAGACGAGGAGCUUGCUCCUUCGACGUUAGCGGCGGACGGGUGAGUAACACGUGGAUAACCUACCUAUAAGACUGGGAUAACUUCGGGAAACCGGAGCUAAUACCGGAUAAUAUAUUGAACCGCAUGGUUCAAUAGUGAAAGACGGCUUUGCUGUCACUUAUAGAUGGACCCGCGCCGCAUUAGCUAGUUGGUAAGGUAACGGCUUACCAAGGCGACGAUGCGUAGCCGACCUGAGAGGGUGAUCGGCCACACUGGAACUGAGACACGGUCCAGACUCCUACGGGAGGCAGCAGUAGGGAAUCUUCCGCAAUGGGCGAAAGCCUGACGGAGCAACGCCGCGUGAGUGAUGAAGGUCUUCGGAUCGUAAAACUCUGUUAUUAGGGAAGAACAAACGUGUAAGUAACUGUGCACGUCUUGACGGUACCUAAUCAGAAAGCCACGGCUAACUACGUG
RNAcentral lists this ribosomal RNA (497 nucleotides) under uncultured bacterium. RNAcentral's name for it is "partial 16S ribosomal RNA". It matches the Rfam family "Bacterial small subunit ribosomal RNA", at positions 28 to 507 of the family's 1533-position model. The record is from RNAcentral.